This 253-nucleotide ribosomal RNA is filed under the name uncultured bacterium. Its description in RNAcentral is "partial 16S ribosomal RNA". It matches the Rfam family "Bacterial small subunit ribosomal RNA", at positions 524 to 776 of the family's 1533-position model. The record is from RNAcentral.
UACGAAGGUCCCAAGCGUUAUCCGGAUUUAUUGGGUUUAAAGGGUGCGUAGGCGGUCUAUUAAGUCAGUGGUGAAAGCCCCAAGCUCAACUUGGGAACUGCCAUUGAUACUGAUGGACUUGAGUACAUUUGAGGUGGGCGGAAUAUGUCAUGUAGCGGUGAAAUGCUUAGAUAUGACAUAGAACACCAAUUGCGAAGGCAGCUAUCUACAGGAACAUUGACACUGAGGCACGAAAGCGUGGGGAUCAAACAGG